RNAcentral lists this ribosomal RNA (497 nucleotides) under uncultured bacterium. Its description in RNAcentral is "partial 16S ribosomal RNA". It matches the Rfam family "Bacterial small subunit ribosomal RNA", at positions 28 to 507 of the family's 1533-position model. The record is from RNAcentral.
GAUGAACGCUGGCGGCGUGCCUAAUACAUGCAAGUCGAGCGAACAGACGAGGAGCUUGCUCCUCUGACGUUAGCGGCGGACGGGUGAGUAACACGUGGAUAACCUACCUAUAAGACUGGGAUAACUUCGGGAAACCGGAGCUAAUACCGGAUAAUAUAUUGAACCGCAUGGUUCAAUAGUGAAAGACGGUUUUGCUGUCACUUAUAGAUGGAUCCGCGCCGCAUUAGCUAGUUGGUAAGGUAACGGCUUACCAAGGCAACGAUGCGUAGCCGACCUGAGAGGGUGAUCGGCCACACUGGAACUGAGACACGGUCCAGACUCCUACGGGAGGCAGAAGUAGGGAAUCUUCCGCAAUGGGCGAAAGCCUGACGGAGCAACGCCGCGUGAGUGAUGAAGGUCUUCGGAUCGUAAAACUCUGUUAUUAGGGAAGAACAAAUGUGUAAGUAACUAUGAACGUCUUGACGGUACCUAAUCAGAAAGCCACGGCUAAAUACGUG